This 493-nucleotide ribosomal RNA is filed under the name uncultured bacterium. RNAcentral describes it as "partial 16S ribosomal RNA". It matches the Rfam family "Bacterial small subunit ribosomal RNA", at positions 28 to 507 of the family's 1533-position model. The record is from RNAcentral.
GACGAACGCUGGCGGCGUGCCUAACACAUGCAAGUUGAGCGACGAACCAGGGCUUGCCCUGGGGCAAAGCAGCGAACGGGUGAGUAACACGUGGGUAACCUACCCCGAUAACCGGGACAACCCGAGGAAACUCGGGCUAAUACCAGAUGUGCUCACUGGACUUCGGUUCAGUGCGUAAAGGAAGCUUCGGCCUCCGUAUCGGGAGGGGCCCGCGGCCCAUUAGUUUGUUGGUGAGGUAACGGCUCACCAAGACCGCGAUGGGUAGCUGGUCUGAGAGGACGAUCAGCCACACUGGGACUGAGACACGGCCCAGACUCCUACGGGAGGCAGCAGUGGGGAAUCUUGCGCAAUGCGCGAAAGCGUGACGCAGCAACGCCGCGUGGGGGAAGAAGGCCUUCGGGUUGUAAACCCCUUUCAGGAGGGACGAAGGUUCGGCGGUGAAUAGCCGUCCGGACUGACGGUACCUCCACAAGAAGCCCCGGCUAACUACGUG